This 120-nucleotide ribosomal RNA is filed under the name Salmo salar (Atlantic salmon). The record is from RNAcentral. Lineage: Eukaryota; Metazoa; Chordata; Actinopteri; Salmoniformes; Salmonidae.
GCUUACGGCCAUACCAGCCUGUGUACGCCUCGAUCUCGUCUGAUCUCGGAAGCUAAGCAGGGUCGGGCCUGGUUAGUACUUGGAUGGGAGACCGCCUGGGAAUACCAGGUGCUGUAAGCA